CCUACGGGUGGCUGCAGUAGGGAAUAUUGGACAAUGGGCGAAAGCCUGAUCCAGCCAUGCCGCGUGAUAGAUGAAGGCCCUCUGGGUUGUAAAUAUCUUUUAUCUGGGCAGAAACAAUCUUAUUCUUAAGAUCUUGACGGUACCAGAGGAAUAAGCACCGGCUAACUCCGUGCCAGCAGCCGCGGUACUACGGAGGGUGCAGGCGUUAUUGGGAUUAACUGGGGCGUAGGGGUGCUUAGAAGGGCUUGGUGAAAGCUCCGAGCUUAACUUGGAAACUGCCAUUGAUACUGCCAGUCUUGAAUGUCGUAGAGGUAAGCGGAAUGUUGCAUGUAGCGGUGAAAUGCUUAGAUAUGUUACAGAACACCAAUUGCGAAGGCAGCUUACUAUGCGAUGAUUGACGCUGAGGCACGAAAGCGUGGGGAGCAAACAGGAUUAGAUACCCCAGUAGUC
RNAcentral lists this ribosomal RNA (450 nucleotides) under uncultured bacterium. RNAcentral describes it as "partial 16S ribosomal RNA". It matches the Rfam family "Bacterial small subunit ribosomal RNA", at positions 338 to 795 of the family's 1533-position model. The record is from RNAcentral.